CCUACGGGUGGCUGCAGUGGGGAAUAUUGCACAAUGGGCGAAAGCCUGAUGCAGCGACGCCGCGUGGAGGAUGAAGGUUUUCGGAUUGUAAACUCCUGUUAAGUGGGAAGAAAGGUCCAUACCUAAUACGUAUGGGAGAUGACGGUACCACUAGAGAAAGCACCGGCAAACUUCGUGCCAGCAGCCGCGGUAAUACGAAGGGUGCGAGCGUUAUUCGGAAUAACUGGGUGUAAAGAGUGUGUUGGCGGUUUUUUAAGUCAGUUGUUAAAGCGCCC
RNAcentral lists this ribosomal RNA (275 nucleotides) under uncultured bacterium. Its description in RNAcentral is "partial 16S ribosomal RNA". It matches the Rfam family "Bacterial small subunit ribosomal RNA", at positions 338 to 605 of the family's 1533-position model. The record is from RNAcentral.